UGGGGAAUAUUGGACAAUGGGCGAAAGCCUGAUCCAGCCAUGCCGCGUGUGUGAAGAAGGUCUUCGGAUUGUAAAGCACUUUAAGUUGGGAGGAAGGGCAUUAACCUAAUACGUUAGUGUUUUGACGUUACCGACAGAAUAAGCACCGGCUAACUCUGUGCCAGCAGCCGCGGUAAUACAGAGGGUGCAAGCGUUAAUCGGAAUUACUGGGCGUAAAGCGCGCGUAGGUGGUUUGUUAAGUUGGAUGUGAAAUCCCCGGGCUCAACCUGGGAACUGCAUUCAAAACUGACUGACUAGAGUAUGGUAGAGAGUGGUGGAAUUUCCUGUGUAGCGGUGAAAUGCGUAGAUAUAGGAAGGAACACCAGUGGCGAAGGCGACCACCUGGACUAAUACUGACACUGAGGUGCGAAAGCGUGGGGAGCAAACA
Molecule: ribosomal RNA, 427 nt
Filed under: uncultured bacterium
Lineage: Bacteria
Description: partial 16S ribosomal RNA
Rfam family: Bacterial small subunit ribosomal RNA
Source: RNAcentral